GGAAAUAUAAACAGGCCCUGGUUGGUGCUGCUCUGCCAGAACAGCCACCCAGAGGCAUGCUGCACGGACUCUCCAGGUCUUUGAUUACUUGAGAAAAGUGAGUGAGGUGGGGCCAAGAUGGUUGACUAGAAGCAGCUAGUGUGUGCCACUCUCACAAAUAGCAGAAAGAGUGGUGAGGUGAGUAGACACUAGCUCUUCAACCGGAACAUCCAGGUGGACACAUAAGGAUUCAUCAGUGACAUAGUGUGACCUUCAGAUCACGGAGAAGAGUGAGACAGAUCAACCAUUCACCCAGGAGUGGCACAGACCCAGGGGAAUCUCCCUACAAGAAAAUGGCCAGGAACGUCAAGAUAUAUUGGAGACCUCAAGAAGAGAGAAAUUCAUGCAAAUUUUUAGAUACUGCAGCCAAAGUCUGAUGUUCGCCCUCCUUUGACUUCUGACCCUUGGAAGGCUUUUAAAAGUCUAAUCUGAGAUUUCUUAUCAAAAGUUCCAUCAAAAUAAACUUAAAAACAGCC
This is a long non-coding RNA of Gorilla gorilla gorilla (western lowland gorilla), 515 nucleotides long. RefSeq lists it as uncharacterized. The record is from RefSeq and is a predicted model, not a curated record. The transcript is spliced from 3 exons. Lineage: Eukaryota; Metazoa; Chordata; Mammalia; Primates; Hominidae.